GACGAACGCUGGCGGCGUGCUUAACACAUGCAAGUCGAACGGAAAGGCCCUGCUUUUGUGGGGUGCUCGAGUGGCGAACGGGUGAGUAACACGUGAGUAACCUGCCCUUGACUUUGGGAUAACUUCAGGAAACUGGGGCUAAUACCGGAUAGGAGCUCCUGCUGCAUGGUGGGGGUUGGAAAGUUUCGGCGGUUGGGGAUGGACUCGCGGCUUAUCAGCUUGUUGGUGGGGUAGUGGCUUACCAAGGCUUUGACGGGUAGCCGGCCUGAGAGGGUGACCGGCCACAUUGGGACUGAGAUACGGCGCAGAAUCCUACGGGAGGCAGCAGUGGGGAAUAUGGCACAAUGGGCGGAAGCCUGAUGCAGCAACGCCGCGUGCGGGAUGACGGCCUUCGGGUUGUAAACCGCUUUCGCCUGUGACGAAGCGUGAGUGACGGUAAUGGGUAAAGAAGCACCGGCUAACUACGUG
This 468-nucleotide ribosomal RNA is filed under the name uncultured bacterium. Its description in RNAcentral is "partial 16S ribosomal RNA". It matches the Rfam family "Bacterial small subunit ribosomal RNA", at positions 28 to 507 of the family's 1533-position model. The record is from RNAcentral.